CUAAAACAUUUUGAGCAUUCAGAAACAAACCAAGUGAAUCACACUAGCAACUUCAUAACAACAAUGAGAUUUGGCCCUCUUUGUGCUCCUUGCUCUUUUAGUGAGUGCAACAUCUACAUUCACUAAUCCAUAGUGCUCUCUUGCUACAAGUGCCAUUAUUUCACAAUUCCUCCCACCAAUUACUACAAUGGGCUUCAAACACCUAGAUGUGUAGGCCUACAAGGUACAACAAACGCUUGCGACGAGCAUAUUACAACAACCAAUUAUUCAAUUGCAACAACAUUCCUUGGCCCAUAUAACCAUAUAGACCAUUGCAUCACAACGUCAACAAUUGUUCCUUCCAACACCGAACCACCUAGCGAUGGUCCUUGCCGCUACUUGCAACAAUAGCUACUUGCAUUCAACCCACUUGCUCUGGCAAAUGCAGUUGCAUACUAGCAACAACAACAACUGCAACAACUUCUACUAGCGUUCAAUCAACUAGCCACGAAGAAUGUUGUUGCCUACCUGCAACAUCAACAUUUGCUUUC
RNA transcript from Zea mays, 530 nucleotides. It is a transcript of the gene named alpha zein pseudogene, with no coding region annotated. The record is from RefSeq and is marked validated. NCBI's taxonomy places the organism in Eukaryota, Viridiplantae, Streptophyta, Magnoliopsida, Poales, Poaceae. The transcript has a single exon.